Non-coding RNA from Chelonia mydas (Green sea turtle), 957 nucleotides. NCBI's taxonomy places the organism in Eukaryota, Metazoa, Chordata, Testudines, Cheloniidae. The record is from the annotation of a RefSeq genome assembly.
UCUGGCAGGUUCCGGUGGCUCCUGCAGCAGCAGACAAGGAAGACCGCCAGAGGGCUCCGAGACUGUUUAUAGGGACAACACCCAGUCCCGACACAUCACAGAGGGCAAAUCUCUGUGUCUGCGUAUGAGCUAGAAUUUAUUACAGGUGUCGGCAGAGGUUUGCAGCCCAAGGCUCAGACUUCAGCCGACUCGCCCGAGCUGUCCAAGCUCCGUUGGGUCAGCGCCUGGACUGGGGAUAUCUGAAACCUCGCAAAUGAUUAAAUGUGUUUUCCUUGCGCUGGCCCUGGCACCGCGUGUCCUUUCCCAGCUGCAGUUGGUGGCCUCAGGCCCUGGGUCGGGGAAGGUCUCCGAGCCCCUCACACUGACCUGCGCUGUCUCCGGGUUCUCCAUUAAUACUCAAUAUUCCUACUGGUACUGGCUCCGUCAGCCUCCUGGAGAAGGGCUGGAGUCCAUGGGAUAUAUUUAUCCAUAUAACGGGGGUACCGGCUACGCCCCGUCUCUCCAAGGCCGGAUCACCAUCUCUGCAGACACCGCCAAGAACCAGGUCUCCCUGACGCUGCGCUCCCUGACAGCUGCGGACACCGCCACCUAUUACUGCGCCUGGAGAGACACAGUGACACGGAGACAGGGGGCCUGGGACAAAAAGGGGGCCAGCCACACGCUUCGCUUCCCAGAGAGAAGGCACCUGACUUUGCCCUUGCGGUCCACCCCCUUCUGAGGUCACUUUAAGUUGAAGGAGACGCUUUGUCAGAGGCCACCACGAAGCUGGAGAGAAGGAGAGAAAGAGGAAACACCUGCGCUGGUGAAUGGGCAGGAGAGAAACUUUGUUACAGGAGUUUUGCAGUUUUGGAAACCACCAAUCAGGGCCUGAGGUUGCAACAGACUGUCCUGUGCGCUCCGCAGCUGAACUGGGGAGCUGGGGUUCUGGGGGGCCCCUCUGACAAAUGACUGAUAUUU